RNAcentral lists this ribosomal RNA (433 nucleotides) under uncultured bacterium. Its description in RNAcentral is "partial 16S ribosomal RNA". It matches the Rfam family "Bacterial small subunit ribosomal RNA", at positions 29 to 507 of the family's 1533-position model. The record is from RNAcentral.
AACGAACGCUGGCGGCAGGCCUAACACAUGCAAGUCGAGCGAGGACUUCGGUUCUAGCGGCGGACGGGUGAGUAACGCGUGGGAAUGUGCCCUUCUCUACGGAAUAGCCCUGGGAAACUGGGAGUAAUACCGUAUACGCCCUAUCGGGGAAAGAUUUAUCGGAGAAGGAUCAGCCCGCGUUGGAUUAGGUAGUUGGUGGGGUAAUGGCCUACCAAGCCGACGAUCCAUAGCUGGUUUGAGAGGAUGAUCAGCCACACUGGGACUGAGACACGGCCCAGACUCCUACGGGAGGCAGCAGUGGGGAAUCUUAGACAAUGGGGGCAACCCUGAUCGAGCCAUGCCGCGUGAGUGAUGAAGGCCUUAGGGUUGUAAAGCUCUUUCAGCUGGGAAGAUAAUGACGGUACCAGCAGAAGAAGCCCCGGCUAACUCCGUG